Molecule: non-coding RNA, 740 nt
Organism: Drosophila melanogaster (fruit fly)
Lineage: Eukaryota; Metazoa; Arthropoda; Insecta; Diptera; Drosophilidae
Source: Ensembl
GAGAUAGCACUUCUUCCCUUGUUUACAUUCCCUUGCUGUUGGCAUUUUAUUUUUUUUUUUGGCAUUUUUACGAUGACUAAAUGUUUGGAACGCUGGGUUUUACGCAAAAAGUUCCAGGUAUUUAAGGCGGAUGCAUCGGAAAUAAACUAAAGCGAACAAAAUACCUUUGAAUCUGAAUCAUCAACUGGCCGCGUCAACUUUUCGUUUCUGUGAGUAACCUCGGGUGUCGUAUCAUUCAGCUUUGGGCUCAAGCGGAAGACAAAGAGCGAAGCGGAGAGGCUGAUAUGGUUGUCGAUGCAUUGACCCCUGAACUCUGAAAGAGAUGUCUAUGGCCUGUUGUCCACUUCCACAUCCCCAUCCACAGACAUUUCCUCCCACACUCCGCACUCGACUCGAGUCAUCCAAUCCCAACCAAUCCGUUUCAAUUCAGUUCGCAUCGGAAUCUGAAUCUGUGUGUGAGUUAUGGAGAUGCGGGACCAACAUGAAGAGCCUAGGAAUCGGAAUCUUGAGACAUGUUUUUUCAUCUGCCCGAUUCUUUUUCUGCUGCUUAACCGCUAGCUUCCUUCCACUUGGCCAAGGAAAUGGCUCGUGACACAGAUCUUUUGUCUAAUGACUCUAUAACUAAAACUCCAUGGAACCUCAGCAACUCUAGCCAGCAAGUGCAUGGCCAUUUCUCAAUAAGUCAAUUGUACACAGAGAAAAAUUUGUGUUGUAAUAAAUACGUUUUUGGAUUUAUGAAU